AUCUUUCUAGUAUUUAAAGCUAGUACAAGUGACUUCCAAUUACACGGUCUUGGUUAAAAUCCAAGGAAAGAUA
RNAcentral lists this transfer RNA (73 nucleotides) under Minimugil cascasia (yellowtail mullet). RNAcentral's name for it is "tRNA-Gly". It matches the Rfam family "tRNA". From Rfam's summary of the family: Transfer RNA (tRNA) molecules are approximately 80 nucleotides in length. Lineage: Eukaryota; Metazoa; Chordata; Actinopteri; Mugiliformes; Mugilidae. The record is from RNAcentral.